GCGGUAAUUCCAGCUCCAAUAGCGUAUAUUAAAGUUGUUGCAGUUAAAAAGCUCGUAGUUGGAUCUCGGGUCCGGGCUCGCGGUCCACCUCGCGGUGGUUACUGCCCGUCCCGACCUACCUACCGGUUUUCCCUUGGUGCUCUUAACUGAGUGUCUCGGGUGGCCCGGAACGUUUACUUUGAAAAAAUUAGAGUGUUCAAAGCAGGCGCUUCGCCUGAAUAAUGUUGCAUGGAAUAAUGGAAUAGGACCUCGGUUCUAUUUUGUUGGUUUUCGGAACUCGAGGUAAUGAUUAAGAGGGACAGACGGGGGCAUUCGUAUGAUGGUGUUAGAGGUGAAAUUCUUGGAUCGCCGUCAGACGAACUACUGCGAAAGCAUUUGCCAAGAAUGUUUUCAUUAAUCAAGAACGAAAGUCAGAGGUUCGAAGACGAUCAGAUACCGUCCUAGUUCUGACCAUAAACGAUGCCGACUAGCGAUCCGCCGGAGUUGUUUCAAUGACCCGGCGGGCAGCUUCCGGGAAACCAAAGUCUUUGGGUUCCGGGGGAAGUAUGGUUGCAAAGCUGAAACUUAAAGGAAUUGACGGAAGGGCACCACCAGGAGUGGAGCCUGCGGCUUAAUUUGACUCAACACGGGAAAGCUUACCCGGCCCGGACACCGUAAGGAUUGACAGACUGAGAGCUCUUUCUUGAUUCGGUGGGUGGUGGUGCAUGGCCGUUCUUAGUUGGUGGAGCGAUUUGUCUGGUUAAUUCCGAUAACGAACGAGACUCUAGCCUAUUAAAUAGUUCGCCGAUUUCGAUCUGUCGGCGUUAACUUCUUAGAGGGACAAGUGGCUUUUAGCCACGCGAGAUUGAGCAAUAACAG
Molecule: ribosomal RNA, 858 nt
Filed under: uncultured eukaryote
Lineage: Eukaryota
Description: SSU rRNA
Rfam family: Eukaryotic small subunit ribosomal RNA
Source: RNAcentral